Molecule: small nuclear RNA, 107 nt
Organism: Kogia breviceps (pygmy sperm whale)
Lineage: Eukaryota; Metazoa; Chordata; Mammalia; Artiodactyla; Physeteridae
Source: RefSeq, a predicted model, not a curated record
GUGCUCACUUCGGCUGCACAUAUACUAAAAUUGGAACAAUACAGAGAGGAUUAGCGUAACCCCUGAGCAAGGAUGACAUGCAAAUUCAUGAAGCAUUCCAUAUUUUU